UGGGGAAUUUUGGACAAUGGGCGAAAGCCUGAUCCAGCAAUGCCGCGUGUGUGAAGAAGGCCUUCGGGUUGUAAAGCACUUUUGUCCGGAAAGAAAUCCUUGGCUCUAAUACAGUCGGGGGAUGACGGUACCGGAAGAAUAAGCACCGGCUAACUACGUGCCAGCAGCCGCGGUAAUACGUAGGGUGCAAGCGUUAAUCGGAAUUACUGGGCGUAAAGCGUGCGCAGGCGGUUUGCUAAGACCGAUGUGAAAUCCCCGGGCUCAACCUGGGAACUGCAUUGGGUGACUGGCAGGCUAGAGUAUGGCAGAGGGGGGUAGAAUUCCACGUGUAGCAGUGAAAUGCGUAGAGAUGUGGAGGAAUACCGAUGGCGAAGGCAGCCCCCUGGGCCAAUACUGACGCUCAUGCACGAAAGCGUGGGGAGCAAACAGGAUUAGAUACCCUGGUAGUCCACGCCCUAAACGAUGUCAACUAGUUGUUGGGGAUUCAUUUCCUUAGUAACGUAGCUAACGCGUGAAGUUGACCGCCUGGGGAGUACGGUCGCAAGAUUAAAACUCAAAUGAAUUGACGGGGUCAUAGCUG
RNAcentral lists this ribosomal RNA (580 nucleotides) under uncultured bacterium. RNAcentral's name for it is "partial 16S ribosomal RNA". It matches the Rfam family "Bacterial small subunit ribosomal RNA", at positions 355 to 932 of the family's 1533-position model. The record is from RNAcentral.